AUGAACGCUGGCGGCGUGCCUAAUACAUGCCAGUCGAGCGAACAGAUGAGGAGCUUGCUCCUCUGACGUUAGCGGCGGACGGGUGAGUAACACGUGGAUAACCUACCUAUAAGACUGGGAUAACUUCGGGAAACCGGAGCUAAUACCGGAUAAUAUAUUGAACCGCAUGGUUCAAUAGUGAAAGACGGUUUUGCUGUCACUUAUAGAUGGAUCCGCGCCGCAUUAGCUAGUUGGUAAGGUAACGGCUUACCAAGGCGACGAUGCGUAGCCGACCUGAGAGGGUGAUCGGCCACAAUGGAACUGAGACACGGUCCAGACUCCUACGGGAGGCAGCAGUAGGGAAUCUUCCGCAAUGGGCGAAAGCCUGACGGAGCAACGCCGCGUGAGUGAUGAAGGUCUUCGGAUCGUAAAACUCUGUUAUUAGGGAAGAACAAAUGUGUAAGUAACUAUGCACGUCUUGACGGUACCUAAUCAGAAAGCCACGGCUAACUACGU
RNAcentral lists this ribosomal RNA (495 nucleotides) under uncultured bacterium. RNAcentral's name for it is "partial 16S ribosomal RNA". It matches the Rfam family "Bacterial small subunit ribosomal RNA", at positions 29 to 506 of the family's 1533-position model. The record is from RNAcentral.